GACGAACGCUGGCGGCGUGCUUAACACAUGCAAGUCGAACGGAAAGGCCCUGCUUUUGUGGGGUGCUCGAGUGGCGAACGGGUGAGUAACACGUGAGUAACCUGCCCUUGACUUUGGGAUAACUUCAGGAAACUGGGGCUAAUACCGGAUAGGAGCUCCUGCUGCAUGGUGGGGGUUGGAAAGUUUCGGCGGUUGGGGAUGGACUCGCGGCUUAUCAGCUUGUUGGUGGGGUAGUGGCUUACCAAGGCUUUGACGGGUAGCCGGCCUGAGAGGGUGACCGGCCACAUUGGGACUGAGAUACGGCCCAGACUCCUACGGGAGGCAGCAGUGGGGAAUAUGGCACAAUGGGCGGAAGCCUGAUGCGGCAACGCCGCGUGCGGGAUGACGGCCUUCGGGUUGUAAACCGCUUUCGCCUGUGACGAAGCGUGAGUGACGGUAAUGGGUAAAGAAGCACCGGCUAACUACGUG
This 468-nucleotide ribosomal RNA is filed under the name uncultured bacterium. RNAcentral's name for it is "partial 16S ribosomal RNA". It matches the Rfam family "Bacterial small subunit ribosomal RNA", at positions 28 to 507 of the family's 1533-position model. The record is from RNAcentral.